Molecule: ribosomal RNA, 274 nt
Filed under: uncultured bacterium
Lineage: Bacteria
Description: partial 16S ribosomal RNA
Rfam family: Bacterial small subunit ribosomal RNA
Source: RNAcentral
AUACAGAGGGUGCGAGCGUUAAUCGGAAUUACUGGGCGUAAAGCGCGCGUAGGCGGUUUGAUAAGUCGGAUGUGAAAGCCCUGAGCUUAACUUGGGAACUGCAUUCGAAACUGUCUGACUAGAGUAUGGUAGAGGGAAGUGGAAUUUCCGGUGUAGCGGUGAAAUGCGUAGAUAUCGGAAGGAACACCAGUGGCGAAGGCGACUUCCUGGGCUAAUACUGACGCUGAGGUGCGAAAGCGUGGGGAGCAAACAGGAUUAGAAACCCCGGUAGUCC